Molecule: long non-coding RNA, 550 nt
Filed under: Drosophila guanche
Lineage: Eukaryota; Metazoa; Arthropoda; Insecta; Diptera; Drosophilidae
Source: RNAcentral
CAAUUAUUAUGUUUUUCACAUUGCCUUCAAAUGGUUAAUCAGCACACUCCAUUGUCGUUGCCCUCACACUUACAGCGAGAGCCCUUUCACUCGUACUUUUCACUCGCACUUUUCCAUAAUUUUUGCCGACGAGACCGCCUUAUAUAGUUGCUUUAUGACCAUGAAGAAACUACAGUUUCUUCAUGUUCAUGCUCCUACCGGCACUGUUGCGUCGGCGCACGGCAAAAGCACGAGGGAGAGGCCACCAUCAGCACCGAAAACGAGUGAGCACAUCGCCUGGGUAAAGAUUAAAAGAACGUGUUAUUGGGCCCUAGUCAACACACUUGAAAAAAGCAAUUGAAGGUGGGUAAUUUAAGGAGGGAAAUAAAACUUCUAAACGAAUGAAGGCAAGCACACCAAUUUUUUCGUGUAUUAAUAACUGUGUUCUUAGCAAACAGGCAAUGAAAAAAAAAGAAAUGAAAAGCUUUAACAGAUCGAAAAAAUGGCAAGCCAAAACAACUCUCAUGUACUAAUUUGUUCACUUUUCGUUUUUUUAUUUGUCUAAGUUUUC